GAUGAACGCUGGCGGCGUGCCUAAUACAUGCAAGUCGAGCGGACGGACGAGAAGCUUGCUUCUCUGAUGUUAGCGGCGGACGGGUGAGUAACACGUGUAUAACCUCCCUGUAAGACUGGGAUAACUUGGGGAAACCGGAUCUAAUACCGUAUAAUCUUUUGAACCGCAUGGUUCAAAAGUGAAUGACGGUCUUUCUGUCACUUAUAGAUGGUUCCGCGCUUCAUUGGCUAGUUGGUAGGGUAACGGCUUACCAAGGCAACGGUGCAUAGCCGACCUGGGGGGGGGUUCGGCCACACUGGAACUGAGACGCGGUCCAGGCUCUGAGGGGAGGCACAGGUUGGUAAUCUUCCGCAAUGGGCGAAAGCCUGCAGGAGCAACGCCGCGUGGGUGCAGAAGCGCUUCGGAUGGUAAAACUCUGUUAUUAGGGAAGAACAUAUGUGUAAGUAACUGUGCACAUCUGGACGUAACCGAUAAAGAAAGCCCCGCUUACCUCCUG
Molecule: ribosomal RNA, 496 nt
Filed under: uncultured bacterium
Lineage: Bacteria
Description: partial 16S ribosomal RNA
Rfam family: Bacterial small subunit ribosomal RNA
Source: RNAcentral